UUCUUUUUGGCUCAAACUGAGCAGGGAGAUAUCUUUAAGAUCACUUUGGAGACAGAUGAAGAUAUGGUUACUGAGAUCCGGCUCAAGUAUUUUGAUACUGUACCCGUUGCUGCUGCCAUGUGUGUGCUUAAAACAGGGUUCCUUUUUGUAGCAUCAGAAUUUGGAAACCAUUACUUAUAUCAAAUUGCACAUCUUGGAGAUGAUGAUGAAGAACCUGAGUUUUCAUCAGCCAUGCCUCUGGAAGAAGGAGACACAUUCUUUUUUCAGCCAAGACCACUUAAAAACCUUGUGCUGGUUGAUGAGUUGGACAGCCUCUCUCCCAUUCUGUUUUGCCAGAUAGCUGAUCUGGCCAAUGAAGAUACUCCACAGUUGUAUGUGGCCUGUGGUAGGGGACCCCGAUCAUCUCUGAGAGUCCUAAGACAUGGACUUGAGGUGUCAGAAAUGGCUGUUUCUGAGCUACCCGGUAACCCCAACGCUGUCUGGACAGUGCGUCGACACAUUGAAGGUAAGCAGCUCUUUGCCAAUGUCAAAAUGAGGGUCUGGGUGCCAUUGACAUAGAAGGCUUAAAAGACUG
RNAcentral lists this small RNA (574 nucleotides) under Pongo abelii (Sumatran orangutan). Its description in RNAcentral is "retained intron". Lineage: Eukaryota; Metazoa; Chordata; Mammalia; Primates; Hominidae. The record is from RNAcentral.